UGUAAACCUCUGUCACCGGGGACGAAUAUUGACGGUACCCGGAGAGGAAGCCACGGCUAACUACGUGCCAGCAGCCGCGGUAAUACGUAGGUGGCGAGCGUUAUUCGGAUUUACUGGGCGUAAAGGGUCCGUAGGGGGUUUGGCAAGUCCGGUGUGAAAGCCCGCGGCUCAACCGCGGAACUGCACUGGAGACUGCCGGACUAGAGUGCGCGAGAGGAAAGCGGAAUUCCGGGUGUAGCGGUGGAAUGCGUAGAUAUCCGGAAGAACACCGGCGGCGAAGGCGGCUUUCUGGUGCGUCACUGACCCUGAGGGACGAAAGCGUGGGUAGCAAACAGGAUUAGAUACCCUGGUAGUCCACGCCGUAAACGUUGUGCGCUCGAUGCGGGAUCGGCCGUUCCGGCCGUUUCCGUGUCCCAGCCAACGCGUUAAGCGCACCGCCUGGGGACUACGGUCGCAAGGCUAAAACUCGAAGGAAUUGACGGGGGCCCGCACAAGCGGUGGAGCAUGUGGCUUAAUUCGAGGCAACGCGAAGAACCUUACCUGGGCUUGACAUCGAGCGACCGGCGCGGAGACGCGCCUUUCCUUCGGGACGCGAAGACA
Molecule: ribosomal RNA, 600 nt
Filed under: uncultured Verrucomicrobiota bacterium
Lineage: Bacteria; Pseudomonadati; Verrucomicrobiota
Description: bacterial SSU rRNA
Rfam family: Bacterial small subunit ribosomal RNA
Source: RNAcentral